GGAACGUGUCUACCGACUCUUCCAAGCUCUUAACGCGCACGGGUUGAUUUGCUCGUAUCUCCCAAGCCACCGGGACCCGUUUAAGUUGAAUUAUUGAUUGGCACUCAAUGCUAAUCCAAAAGUAAAUGAGAAACUUAGAGAAAGAUUGCCAAUCCCAAAUCAACACACUUACAGAGAAUUGGAAAAGAAGAAGAUUUACGGCUUCAUUUGAGGACUUUUGUAAAGAACUCGGGUUCCAAUAUGAGCUCUAAAAUCUUGGAGCGAGAGCUGGCGGCAGUGCCAGAUCAAACAAGUUCAGGAGGACGACUGGAGGACUGGUUAAAAGAUCCGCCCCGCUGCCACCCGAAAGUAGAGAUUCCACAGGAAAAGCAAAAUCCUCAUCUGGCCCGAACGUGGAAAGCCGCUCCAGCCACGUGACGAACCUGUGGGCCCGGCAGAGUGUGAGAACGAGAGCCUGAGGGUACUAAGUCCGAGGAGCCUCCCGCCUGUGGGGGCGGAGCGGGCCCCUCUCGAUGACAUCGAGGACUGUCGUGUUCCUGAAGGACCCAGAGGAACGACAUAUGGAGGCAGUAGUUGGGUAUAUGAUUUUAUGGAUCCUCUCAGGUUACAGCAGCCCGAGAUAAAGAGAAGACUGUCGCACUCCUAAAAGAAAUGGACAUUCUCAAGAGCAAGCA
This is a long non-coding RNA of Ornithorhynchus anatinus (platypus), 674 nucleotides long. RefSeq lists it as uncharacterized. NCBI's taxonomy places the organism in Eukaryota, Metazoa, Chordata, Mammalia, Monotremata, Ornithorhynchidae. The record is from RefSeq and is a predicted model, not a curated record. The transcript has 6 exons.